GCAAGUCGAACGAGAAAGGGAUUGCUUGCAAUCCUGAGUAGAGUGGCGCACGGGUGAGUAACACGUAGAUAAUCUGCCUUCAAGCCUGGGAUAACUAUUCGAAAGGAUAGCUAAUACCGGAUAAAGUUUAUACACACAAGUGUAUUCAUGAAAGAUUGCCUCUUCUUGAAAGCAAUUGUUUGGAGAUGAGUCUGCGGACCAUUAGCUUGUUGGUGGGGUAAAGGCCUACCAAGGCUGCGAUGGUUAGCUGGUCUGAGAGGAUGAUC
RNAcentral lists this ribosomal RNA (266 nucleotides) under uncultured bacterium. RNAcentral describes it as "partial 16S ribosomal RNA". It matches the Rfam family "Bacterial small subunit ribosomal RNA", at positions 57 to 305 of the family's 1533-position model. The record is from RNAcentral.